UGGGGAAUCUUGGACAAUGGGGGAAACCCUGAUCCAGCCAUGCCGCGUGAGUGAUGGAGGCCCUAGGGUUGUAAAACUCUUUCGUCGGGGACGAUAAUGACGGUACCCGAAGAAGAAGCUCCGGCUAACUUCGUGCCAGCAGCCGCGGUAAUACGAAGGGAGCUAGCGUUGUUCGGAAUCACUGGGCGUAAAGCGCACGUAGGCGGAUAGUUAAGUCAGGGGUGAAAUCCUGGGGCUCAACCCCAGAACUGCCUUUGAUACUGGCUGUCUCGAGGUCGAGAGAGGUUGGUGGAAUUCCUAGUGUAGAGGUGAAAUUCGUAGAUAUUAGGAAGAACACCAGUGGCGAAGGCGGCCAACUGGCUCGAUACUGACGCUGAGGUGCGAAAGCGUGGGGAGCAAACAGGAUUAGAUACCCGGGUAGUCCCUGAGCGGGCUGGCAAGGCGCAU
This 447-nucleotide ribosomal RNA is filed under the name uncultured bacterium. RNAcentral's name for it is "bacterial SSU rRNA". It matches the Rfam family "Bacterial small subunit ribosomal RNA", at positions 355 to 825 of the family's 1533-position model. The record is from RNAcentral.